GAUGAACGCUAGCGGCAGGCUUAACACAUGCAAGUCGAGGGGUAACAUUGGUGCUUGCAUCAGAUGACGACCGGCGCACGGGUGCGUAACGCGUAUAGAACCUACCUUUUACAGAGGGAUAGCCUUUAGAAAUGAAGAUUAAUACCUCAUAGUAUUGCGAUUUGGCAUCAGAUUGUAAUUAAAGAUUUAUCGGUAAAAGAUGGCUAUGCGUCCUAUUAGCUAGAUGGUAAGGUAACGGCUUACCAUGGCGAUGAUAGGUAGGGGUCCUGAGAGGGAGAUCCCCCACACUGGUACUGAGACACGGACCAG
Molecule: ribosomal RNA, 309 nt
Filed under: uncultured Polaribacter sp.
Lineage: Bacteria; Pseudomonadati; Bacteroidota; Flavobacteriia; Flavobacteriales; Flavobacteriaceae
Description: bacterial SSU rRNA
Rfam family: Bacterial small subunit ribosomal RNA
Source: RNAcentral